UAGCUCAGUCGGUAGAGCAUGAGACUCUUAAUCUCAGGGUCGUGGGUUCAGAUAUCUCUU
This 60-nucleotide transfer RNA is filed under the name Sarcophilus harrisii (Tasmanian devil). It matches the Rfam family "tRNA", at positions 8 to 63 of the family's 71-position model. From Rfam's summary of the family: Transfer RNA (tRNA) molecules are approximately 80 nucleotides in length. Their secondary structure includes four short double-helical elements and three loops (D, anti-codon, and T loops). The record is from Rfam by way of RNAcentral. Lineage: Eukaryota; Metazoa; Chordata; Mammalia; Dasyuromorphia; Dasyuridae.